AGGAACUAACUACUUGUUAACUUAACAUAAUUUAGAUGUCAGGCAGACGUGACAAGGGUAAGGAAAAAUUUGAUACUACGAAACCAAAAAAGAGAAGACAACCUCUGCCUUAUAGACGACCGAUAGGUAUUCAUAUAUCUGAGGGUCGGUUUGCUGACGCGACAACACGACCCUCAUAUUCUAGGUCAUCCGAGGAUUCGAUACCUACUCCAAUGCAUGUAGGUCCACUUCAUGGAUCUACAUUGACUCAUUCUGCUCCUAUGACCGUGCCACCGCCAGCACGGUACUAUCGAAUGGCCGUUGGCCCAUCCAGACAUCUAUAAUCAUUGAUACCCUCCUACAGUAGUCACGUAGCUUCGCACAGUGAUUUUUUUGGAACUAUUAGGUUAUCGGAUAUUCAACUUGGAGGCACUCCAUCUGGUUCUUCAGAUCCGCCAACGCCAGUCCAUCCACCAUCACUUAAUAGGAAGGCAGGAGACAGAGAUGAUUCUGAGAGGAUUUAUCUUGUUCUAUUUGUGAGAGGGUUAGGCCGGAUGCUGGAGUUGGAAAAAAGGCGUGAAUAUGCAUUUCUCGGCAUUUAAAUGGCUACUGGACCAGCUAGCAAAAGAUUCCAGAAAUUGACAAGGAAAGAAUGUUUGAAGAAUUUAAAAAAUUUUACUGGUGGGAUGAUGAAAAUACAUUUCUUAUAAAGAGGAACUUUUUCAUAAGAUGUAGAGCCAGAUGCUCGAACUAAAUUGGUAAAACAUAAGUGAAUUCCUGAAGUCAGAUGGCAACUGUAUCUUCAUUAUUGGAGUAGCCAAGAAUACCAAUUGUUGAGAGAAAAAGGAAAGAAAUCCCGGGCAUCAUCCAAGGGUGGCUCCCUACAUACUACGGGUGCCAGAAGUACUCUUGUUGUGCUGGAAAAAUGG
Molecule: long non-coding RNA, 908 nt
Organism: Capsicum annuum
Lineage: Eukaryota; Viridiplantae; Streptophyta; Magnoliopsida; Solanales; Solanaceae
Exons: 3
Source: RefSeq, a predicted model, not a curated record